RNAcentral lists this long non-coding RNA (4774 nucleotides) under Nicotiana tabacum (common tobacco). RNAcentral's name for it is "long non-coding RNA (NTAB_LNC014667)". The record is from RNAcentral. Lineage: Eukaryota; Viridiplantae; Streptophyta; Magnoliopsida; Solanales; Solanaceae.
AGACGACGGGUCGGGUCGUCAUACUAACUUUCAAAAACUAAAUAAUCCUAAAAGUGUAUUUUUACUUACAAAACGAGUAAAAACAUCAUAUAUCAAAGGUCCUUAAGUUCUAUUCUGAUAGUAACCCAAAAAAUAAAUCUUCCAAUGUCCUUAAGUUCUAUUCUAAUAGUAACCAAAAAACUAAAUCUUCUUCCAACAGCUUGUGCACUUCAUGAACCGGAUGUGAAGAUGGUUCAAUUACGCAUGCUCAUCCUAAAAAGAAAAUAAAUAUAAUUAGCUUUUGAUAAAAAGAAGCAAUAAAGUACAUAAGUGCAAAAUGAAACUAGAGGAAGCUUAUUUAACUGUUACUACUUAUAACAACAACAUACCCAGUAUUAUCCCGCAUAGUGAGGUCUAGGAAGGAAAAUAUGUACACAGACCUUACCCCUAUCUUGUGAAGAUAGAGAAGUUAUUUCCCAUAGACCCUCGGCCCAUGACAACAUAGGCACGAAUUGAUGAAAAGAAAGAUAAGAAAGGACAAUACUGAGAAGCCAUGUAAAAUAAGCACAAAAAAUAUCAAGAUGGUAAGAUGACUGUAACAGGAAUCAUCAACCUAAAAAGAGCUUGUGGAAACACAACAUCAACCUCAAAGAACUAGUGGCCAAAAUUGUCGAUCCAUCUCUAAUGUUUGAUGUCUACCGUUUCGGGAAGGUUUUACUUGAGCUUGUAACUGGUAAGGUUGGCAUAAGCCAGUCAGAUGAUGCCUCAACCAAGGAGUAGUGGGACAAAUUUCUUCCUUUCAUCACUAUACGGGAGAAAGAACUAGUGGCCAAAAUUGUCUAUCCAUCUCUAAUUCUAGAUGAGAACUUAUACUGGAAGAGAUGCGGGCUACAACAAUUAUAGCAAAAAAUAGAUACGUAGCUAGCAGUGCAAGCUUGAAUAAAGUACUCCCUAAAAUAAAGUUGCAUCAGAACCUAUUAAUACUCCUAGAGAUACAAUACUAUAGUCAACAAAAUACUAGACAAGAUUAAUUUAUCCAAACAGACUCAUUUGCAUAUACAACCAAGAAACUUCCUUUCAUGAACUAAAAUAAGUUUACUUAUCAUGUCCAUAAGACUUGUAGGACUUGUCUCAUCCGAAUCAUUUAAAUUAGCAAUCAUGUCAAAAAUUGCAGCAGGAAGUCCAGUUUGUUAAACAUUGUACAACAACACUUAAACAUGAUAGAACCUCGACGAAGCAAAUUUAUAACAUAAUACUUAGUAAUAUGUACGUAUGUUGUACUAAUUUUUGAGUAAAGGAAGAAACUUAAAUGCAACACUAAUUGCUACUUACAAGACAAACACUGCUUAUACAAAACAAAUUAACUAAGGUUAGAUAAAUGUAAUAUUAAAAAUGUGGUUAGGUGACACUUCGAAGAUUUUCAGCUUUAUAUAGUACGUAUAUAUCAGAGAUUGAAGCUGAUACUCAUAUUAAGACAGCUAACAGCAGGCAUUACGAAUGAGUAGUACGUAUUAGCUAUACCACCAAGGUGAACCACAAAUAUAGUGUUUUAAAUGUGAACUCUGUGUAUUUUGUCCUCCUUUUUUUUUGGGUGUGUUGUGAGAAACAUACAGAUGCUUGAGGCAAUAGAAAAACUUCAGUGUAUGUGUGAAUGAAGAUAUUUAAGCUACAAUUGAUAACAUAGAUGUACAAAAUCCAGCAAGAACAUAUCCAAACAAUGGCAAAACUACAAAGAUUCGCUAAUUUUCCAUCAGCAACAAACAGGUAGAACAACUAUAGGUCAUACAUUACACAAAUGUGUCUGAACUUGAGGUUUCAUACAGGUUUCUCUAUGUGUCAAAAGGCUUAUCUACACCAAUUACAAAGGGGAAGAAGUUAAAGGAGUUUCCUCAAACUUCUUAUGUAAGAAUCAACAACUCCCUAAUUUCUUAGACGAUGGCAAUGUUUAUCUGUUUUAUUUAGCUAUCCAGUACAGAUUGGAUUAAGAGUGAUUGUUCCUAAUGUACAGUAGGAGUAUAAGGUUUGGCCCUGCUUAUUUGUGUAACUUCAAAUGUUUCAUAUUUCAUGUGACUUGAAGCCUGGAGCAGAAGUCAAGAUUGCUGGCCCUACUUAGACAUGUUUUCUAGCUAUGAGGCUUAAAAAUUAGUAGCAACCAUAAUGUAAAACCAGAAAGAAAGCAAAAUCAUGAAACAACAGAGAAAGAAAAGAUAAAAAGGAGCAUAUGAGAAUUCAGUAACCCACCCAAAUGAAAAUAGCAAAUUCACUUACUGCUCCUUCAGUUUCUAUUAGAGCUGAAAAUAGCAAAUUCACUUUCAUGUAAUUCAAGAGCAUUUAGUGCUUAGUGUUCCGUUCUAUUGCAUUUCAAAUGUAAAAUUGUGGCAUGUCUAUAGUCGAAGAAAGUAAUAUAUGUGUUUGAUAAUGACUAACAUGAAAAGUGAUGCUAUCUCAUUUAUUCUUAAGUAGUUUAAUAAAAUUGUUCUUAGGAUCAAAAGCAAGUAAUUGAAACUUUAACGCCUUAAACCAAUUAAAUACCUCGAAACUUUGUAUAUGGGAUACUAGUGCCAUCAUGCCCUGUUUUAAUAUUUUUUGAUCACCCUACGAGCUUCCAUGAUUUCUCGUUUUUUUCGCUCCUCCGUAAGUUGAUUUUUCACUUCUAUUAGUUUGCAUUCUUCCCUCCAAGAACUUUCCACCUUGCUCUUGGGAAGAUGGGAAUAAGAAUACAAUAAAUAUCAUACAGAUCCAUUCGGAUGUUAACAAAUUAAGAGAGAAUAGAAGGGAGCACAGUGCAGUACAUUAACAGAGAAUGAGCUACCCUGAAACUUUGAUGUAUAUCAGAUCUUUAGUUUCAAUCUAUAAUCACUACUUCAUAUCAGGAGUUGUGGUAGUGAUUCUAGUGAAAAUCUAAUAGUUAACAGUCACAUAGUGUUCUAGUUGAUGACCAUAAUGGUUUUAUGCAAUUGUCGAUGACAAGACUUUAUGUAGGCACAUGGGCAAAAAUUUGGCAGACAUGUUUUAGACAUUUAGAUACGAUACAUUAGGUUCAGAAGUCGCUUCUUUAAGUAAAUAUAACAAGCCUUUUACUCUAGAAACACAGAAAACUAACAAGGCAAACUACCAGCAGAUGACCCCUCAGAUGAAACGGUUAGUUAGGAUCUUCCCGACCAAUGUAACCUAAAUGUCAAAUCAGAUGCAUACGGUGGGAUCAGAAUGUUUUCAAUAGAAACUAUAACAAGCUGAUAGAAGUUUGAAUGAUUGUUUUCAGAAAACAGUAACGACGAGGAGGCUUGUUUAUUUAUUUUUUGUCCUUGAUAAGGUAAACUCUAUCCUCCAAAUCCUUGGCCCUCUCCAUUCUUGGUGACUUGAAUUCCCAUCCUCCUGGUUGUGAGUGAAUGCUCUUGCCCAGGUAACAACCUCACUUGUCAGUGGGUUACAUGUUCAUACAGGACAAAGAUAAAUCUACAUGUGACCAACACAUCUAAAAUGUUAGUUGCUACUUAACCUAUCAGUCAUAUAGAUAAGGACUCUAUAUAUCAUGCAUGCUCCACUGAAAGGUCAAGGCACAAGAAACUGUGUAAGGAUCCCGUAUCUCCUAAUGCCUGAACUUUGACAUAGGAAGUCCAAUUUCCUCCACAUACUUAUAUAACACUACGUCUGCAAACAUUUGCAAUUUACAGUUCUCCCUUAAAGACAAAUGCAAAAUAUAAGAAUCUAUGAAUUGCAAAAUCCUGCUUUGCUUGCAGGAACCUCGACUAAAUCAUGGGUGUGUGCUACCUGUUGACUCCCACCACUUAAUAACUUUACCCAUCGAGACUGGAGCAGCAGUUGAUAUCCACGAGUUUACCAAACAAAUAACCAAAGCUGCUAUACUGUCCUCGAUUUCCCAAGUAAAUAAAAGUUUUAGCCAUUGAUUCAACUGAUCAAGGCCACGAGGAAGAAAAGAAAAGCAAAAUAUAUAAAAGCAAAACUUCAGACAAUCGCCAUUGGACAUUGGUACUUAAAAUAGACCGGAAAAAGAACAAAAUAAUUAAGUUUAAAAAAAAGGGGGGAAAUCAGAAUAUAAAAUUUCCAAAAUUGGACCAAUUUCAAUUAAUAUACUCCAUAAACUAUCUACAGGUGGCUGAUCUUACGUACAAAUUCGCUACAAUUCAAGAAGAAAUACUGUAAAUUAAAUAAUAUGAGAGAGAGAGCAUACGAAUCGGGAGCACAAACAAGGACAUUGAAGAGAUUGGAGGAGACAAGAACGCGAACAAGAGAUCUCAAAUCGGGUGCGUCAAUUCCGUAAAUUCAGAGAAAAAGUAGACAAUCGCCCAUAUUCUAAAUUAUCAAUCCCAAAUAUUCUCACUCUCACACCAUUAAUUCCCCAAAAAAAGAACGUCAAAUAGCAUGACCAUGAAAAAAAUUAAGAAAAUUACAUAAAAAACACCCACUAUAACAACCAAGAAAAGAUACGACAUCUCAUAUUACAAAACAAUUCAAGAAAAUCCCAGUAAACAAUCAUUGACUAGUGAUUAAGGUAUCACAAAUUAAGAAGAAGGAUACGAUUAAACUAAAUCAAAAGAAGAAAGCAACAGAUAUUGAGAAGAAACGAAAUCGAAAGCGACAACUCACCAGAUUUUGGGUUGAAUACAGCGGAAGAGAUCAAAAAAUCAAAGAUGCAAGAACUUAGUUUAGAUAAUGAAAAGAGAAAGCAAUAGAAACUAAAAUUGAGCGCUAAAAAUUUGGGGAAAAGUAAUAAAAUAGGGAAAUAUGUUUUAGGCGCGUCUGUUUUGGCGGAAAACGAAAAGUGAUUUACUAA